Molecule: ribosomal RNA, 907 nt
Filed under: uncultured bacterium
Lineage: Bacteria
Description: bacterial SSU rRNA
Rfam family: Bacterial small subunit ribosomal RNA
Source: RNAcentral
UUGAGAGCUUGCUUUUGAUUAUUUUAGCGGCGGACGGGUGAGUAACGUGUGGGUAACCUGCCUUUUACUGUGGAAUAAUCGUUGGAAACGACGACUAAUACCGCAUACGGUUCUUGGAAGGCAUCUUCUAAGAAAGAAAGGAUUUAUUCGGUAAAAGAUGGGCCCGCAUCUGAUUAGCUAGUUGGUGAGAUAAUAGCCCACCAAGGCAACGAUCAGUAGCCGACCUGAGAGGGUGACCGGCCACAUUGGGACUGAGACACGGCCCAAACUCCUACGGGAGGCAGCAGUGGGGAAUAUUGCACAAUGGGCGAAAGCCUGAUGCAGCAACGCCGCGUGAAGGAAGACGGUUUUCGGAUUGUAAACUUCUAUCAAUAGGGAAGAAAGAAAUGACGGUACCUAAAUAAGAAGCCCCGGCUAACUACGUGCCAGCAGCCGCGGUAAUACGUAGGGGGCAAGCGUUAUCCGGAAUUACUGGGUGUAAAGGGAGAGUAGGCGGCAAGGUAAGCGAUAUGUGAAAGCCUUAGGCUUAACCAAAGGAUUGCAUAACGAACUAUCUAGCUAGAGUACAGGAGAGGAAAGCGGAAUUCCUAGUGUAGCGGUGAAAUGCGUAGAUAUUAGGAAGAACACCAGUGGCGAAGGCGGCUUUCUGGACUGAAACUGACGCUGAGGCUCGAAAGCGUGGGGAGCGAACAGGAUUAGAUACCCUGGUAGUCCACGCUGUAAACGAUGAGUGCUAGGUGUCGGGGAGGAAUUCCCGGUGCCGGAGCAAACGCAAUAAGCACUCCACCUGGGGAGUACGACCGCAAGGUUGAAACUCAAAGGAAUUGACGGGGGCCCGCACAAGCGGUGGAGCAUGUGGUUUAAUUCGAAAGCACGCGAAGAACCUUACCAAGGCUUGACAUACCUU